RNAcentral lists this long non-coding RNA (964 nucleotides) under Gallus gallus (chicken). RNAcentral's name for it is "lncRNA (ENSGALG00010002670.1)". The record is from RNAcentral. Lineage: Eukaryota; Metazoa; Chordata; Aves; Galliformes; Phasianidae.
AGGAUGGCAUCCUAUGGCAGGGCCCCCAUAUGGAGCGGUGCCAGAGAUCGACCAUGAAGAAGGAGCAUAGACGAAGUGUUAUGGAGUGACUGCAGUCCUCAUUCCUUGUUCCCCUGCACCGCUUGAGGGGGAGGAGGUAGGAGAAGGAAUGGGAGUGAGAAUUAGUGCACUCAUCAAUGUUUAGUCACCACAGAUAUAAGGAAUGAAGGAUAUAAGAGCCUGAAAACAUUCAAGAGGAAAAUGUCCAAAUAUAGAUCUUUCUGUUGUCAAAUGGAUGCUUGGCAGAGGGAAAUCACUAUACUAGAUGAUGGGAGAUACACCAAUUGUCUAGAGCUUUUCUCAGAUUAUGAAGACUCUUCAGCUAUCUUAAGGAUUUCUCUGUUCUCUGAAGGCCUUCUACUCAAGGCCAGAAGUGAGAAAGAAGAUGGGAACUGUGCAUUCAAACCUAGGGAUUGAGAAGGGUGGAAUAUGGCUAAUCUUUGAUUCAGUUUUGUUCUGUUGGAGCAUGAGGAGUUGGGUAGAAAACAGCAUGCAGCUUCUGACUGAAAGGGGCACCCUUUAAGUCUUAAAGGAUAUGUUGAUUUAAUGCUUUCUCUAGAUAAGGAUGCAACAUAUGUCAAAUAAAUUAUAUAUUAGAAUGCAGGAGAAUUUGGUUUUAUUUUCACGUUAGCAGAGAAGAUAAAGAAACUUUGUUUAACAGCUGGGUUUGAUCUCCGAGAUAGCAGGGAUGUCUGCUUGGAAAAGACACUUCAAAAGCAGGUUGAACUGACAGAAGUUAUAGCCACAGCUUUGCCAUCUACCUGUACAGUAACAAGUUUUCCUGACAUUCUCUCUGUGUUCAACACAGCUGAGCAGAAAUAAUAAUAAAAAAUACUUAUGACUGUGAAAAAAUUAGACAGCAAAAGGGAAAUAUGUUCUUCUUGAAAUCUUGCUUAUAGAAUUUGUUUCUGUUGAAAGAUUAAAG